Mastomys coucha (southern multimammate mouse) is the source of this 230-nucleotide long non-coding RNA. RefSeq lists it as uncharacterized. The record is from RefSeq and is a predicted model, not a curated record. NCBI's taxonomy places the organism in Eukaryota, Metazoa, Chordata, Mammalia, Rodentia, Muridae. The transcript has 2 exons.
GGGGGUUUCUUCAACUGCUCCCAUUAGCUGCUCGAAGAAACCUCCCUGGUGACAGCUGGGAGAGACACCAAUCAUUCCAUCCACUUGCCUACAACUUUCCUGGUCCUGUUGUUUAAACUGAGUAAUACUCCAUUGUGUUAAUGUGCCAUGUUCUCUACCCAUUCUUUGGAUGAGGGACAUCUAAGUUGUUUCUACUUCUGGCUAUUAUGAAUAAAGCUGCUAUGAACAUA